Molecule: long non-coding RNA, 11094 nt
Filed under: Eucalyptus grandis
Lineage: Eukaryota; Viridiplantae; Streptophyta; Magnoliopsida; Myrtales; Myrtaceae
Description: long non-coding RNA (EGRA_LNC004963)
Source: RNAcentral
AUGGGGUUAUUAUACAUGUUUCAUGUACAUGUUUGCUUUUAUGACUUAUUGAACCUGCUAACCUAUGGCUUCUGUGAUGGAUGUACUAUCUGCUGAUCAUAUGAUGUCGUUGUGUCAUUGGGUGCAUUGUGCUUGGUUUGGUAGGAAGGAGGGAUGUGUUGUGCAAUUUGGAAAAUUUUGUUACAAGGAUGAAUGCUUGGUAGAUGUACAUUUUUUGAGUUUGUUUAGACUUUAAGCUAAUUCUAGCUUUGUUAUUAAAUGCAUGAAAUCAAAUGUGCAGACAAAGGAGGUGAAUAAACUUACCUCCUUGCCAAUUGCAUAUUUUUUUGGCUGACAUGAAUGAAUGUGGUUUAGACCAUCCUAAUAGGAAUUAUAUCUGUGUUUCUGUUAUUAAAUGUCGGUUGAUUUCUAUGAGAAUUUAAUGUUGUUCUGAUAAGGCUUCCCAAGGAACAAUUGCUGUCCUCACUUGCGGCUGUUUCAGACAAAUUUAUCAGCAAAAUAAGGGUCAUGUUAAGAAGCUCAUUCGUUUGCUGUUUUCUUACAGAGUAGCAUGGCCUUUCUAUUAAUGCAAGUAUAGCUGAUCAGGAGACAGUCCAAAGGCUGAUUUUGUAUUUGGGAGUAUCCAUCCUGAUUCAGAGGUUGCUGAUAAUAUCAUUUGGAGGACUUCUCCUGCUAUUGAUGUGGAUUCUAUCAAAUCGUUCAGAGAUAUGAAGCUGCUGCGUGUUCUUUUUAGUUGUAGUCCAAGUUGAAUUGUAACUCUUUUUUUAGGUCAAGCAUGAUCAGAGAACCAGCUGGAUAUUUUUGUGGGAAGAAGAGAAUUCGUAGGGUGAUCCCACCAUAUCUAUUGUAAUCAUCUAAGUUGGUUGUACCUCUUCUCUCUUUUCUUUUUGAACCGUAUACCAACUUCGUUGCUAAUGUGCUAUUGGUUUUCUGUUGUAAUCAUCUAGUGCCAAAUGAAGAGAGAUUUGUGGACCUCAUUUAAAGCAUAAAUACUUUUCAAUAUCUUUCUUUAAGCACAUGUGGUUCAUUCUCAUUGGAAAACCAAGAUAAUACUAUUGGCUAUAGAACACAAGUAGAUGGUCCAGGGGAAAUAUAUGAUCCAGCAUUCAUCACAUUUAACCUCACUUUGUGUAAGGAAGAAUAGUAAAUACUGUUUGUGCUACUGUGAGAAAGAGCAACACAAUGGCUGCGAGAACGGACAAGGAAGCCCAAGGACUAUGGAAAUAUUCCCUCCUCAGUUUCGCCAUCCAGGCGUUCCACUUCUUCGUGUAAUGUGCAUUCACAUUGUUGAAGAUCUCGAAAUAAUAAGGAUAAGAUACCGUGACGUGGUCAUAGGUCCUGUGAACAUAUGCGCAACCACCUUGUCAUCACCCAAGUAGUUCUUAAUAAUCCCUGCGCGGCGAAGCACCUCGACAUCCCCUUUAGAGGUUACGAGGCAAUCCGUGAAGGUAAUAUAAUCUGUGAAGUAGUUGAUGUCUCUGCUUUGAUGAUGCUGCUCGUACGCGAUCAGGUUUCGAAAAUUUGAUUCGGUGUCGUCCUCUACACAGAAGGCCAGUAACUCGAGUGUCCCGUUCUUGAAUUUGAUGUCGCUCAGUGCGCACCCUUGCGCAGCCCUAAACCUGACUCCUGACUCCGUUAGCUCAGUCGCCGAGGGCAUGACUGGUGUGCAGUUCAGGUGGGGCGUUUCAGGCAAGCCAGAAGUGCACCACGCGUGAUACAGAUGCAGAAGAUGUUCCCAGUUGCCAAUCGUCAAAUUUCGGUCGGGGUUUUUUCGUUCACCCUGGAAGUACAUGAUGACGACUUUGCUGAACUCAUGAUGCUCGUCCUCAGUCAGGUCAUAUAGCUUGCUCAAGACGAAAAGUGGGAGUUGGUUCUCUAGCAGCAGUAAAUCGCGCCUAAUGCUAUUUCGAUUCCCACAUUCAUUCAUAACCGGGUCGUCUUUGUCUGUCGCUAUCAUCCGAUUGUACUUACGGAAGAACUCAACGAUGAAACAUCCAUCAAUGAGCAUCAUCGCAAGAAACUUUUCUUGGGAGAGGUCAAUGGUUUCCGCAUAGCAAUUACGCGCCCGCUGUUCCAGUUCCCUGAGAGUCGGCAUAUACCUGUCGACACUCUCCUUUCUCCUAUCAAGCAAUUGCUGCAGGUAUCGCAGUUUUUGCUCCUCCAUGAAUUUGAACUUGCCAUUUCCAUAGUGAUAAGGGCCGAUGGCUAGGAUCUCUGGGUCAUAGGCUUUCUCGUUGACUUCGCGCAGUUGAUUACGAACCCUAAAUAUACAAUGCUCCGGCGAAGUGGGAGGCAUACUUCGAAGCAUAUUCUCGAUGUGGAUUGAGGCAUGAUCUCGCACCCUGAAACGGUCGUAGAUCCCAGCAUGCUGUAUUGGCUACGACAUAAUUAAUGUGAUAAUAAGCACUUGGUAAAGCAAGAUGAUUGUUUUACAUGUGCUUCCGAGGACAAAUUUGUAUUUUUGUGCGAAUAUUGAUGGACAAUACAAAUUAAGCACCGUGGUUGAACACGUGGUGUGGACAUUCAAUACAAACAGAUGGAUAGCUGAGGAAAAAUUACGAAACCCGUAAUAUUGCUCCUUAUAAUAUUGCUCUGAGAAUAAAUUAACAGCUGUAUGGGCUUUUUACUUUUGAGCUUCGGAGAACCCCUUUUGCUCUAUGGACGAGUUUUGACUUUUGGGAAGGCAAAAGAACAGCACAAGUACCAAACUUGGCAUGGAAUACUUAAGUGUCACUUCAUUUUGAAAAUUGGGAUAUCUAAUUUCUAAGUGUGGUGACCUUGGCCAAAAAUUCUACGUGACAAUUUUUUAAUAAUAUAACUCGUCUACGUGACUUGUCGGAGAGUUGAAUCAAUAAAAAAAAAACCAAAACUAUAUCGUUUUACCUUUUAUUUUGUUUUAUUUUAAUAUAAAUGUUCAUUAAAUUAAAUUAUUUUGGAAAAACAAAUGAAGAUUGCAAAACAGCGAGGGCUCAGCCCCUGCCGCCCUCACUGAGGAGGGUUGGCAAUGAUGGGGGAAGGGUUGAUUAGGGUCGCUGGCCCCUGGCCAAGGCUCGACGACCCUGGCCGACUAGUGGUGAGGGCCUACAUCCCUCACCCAGCUCUAGGGCGAGGGUCGUGGCCCUCCCCCAGAUCCAGCAAGACCCCCCAACCAGUGUUGGCCCUUGGCCUAUUAAGUGAGGGUCAGCGACCCUCGUCAGAUCUAGGAGAGGGCUACAACCCUCACCCCGGAUCUAAGUUAGGGCUUACGAGCCCUCACCACUAGGGCUCGGCUACCUCGAUUGACUCUACCCCCACCAUCGCUGGCUCUUCCGAGUGAUAGUGGCAAGGCGGCGGUGAGGAGGGCUAGCAUAGCCCUCACCAUUCUACAACCCUCUGUUUAUUUUUUAUUUUUAAAAAUUUUCAGUUUUAAAUUUAAGUUAAGUAAUAUUUAUAUUAAAAUUCAAAUUCGAGGGAAAACGAUGUCGUUUCAGCUUACUAACCACGUUAGCAUGCAAAAUAACAUUGUUUUUUUGCUUAUUUAGCCACGUCGUCAUUUUUCACUUGUCUCAUAAAAAAACUGCUACGUUAGCAUUUUGACUAGAUUUUCUCACCGUUAACACUUGACUAAUCUAUUUUGCUUCGAUUUCGACACUUAAAUAUAUAUUUCCUAACUUUUGACACUGGACUAAAUUUUGGCAUUCUAAGGAUCCAGGUCUCCUUUUAAGAAUUUGAGUCCCAAAUUUUUCUCUCUCCAGCCACCAAGCAAGGACAACCUUUUAGACACUAACAUGUGAAUUUUAAAACUAAUUGGGGUGUUCUUAUUGUGAGCUACUUACCAUCGAUGUUGAAGGCGUAAGAACCACGCUGAAUAGUUUUAAACUACAUAAGAAGAAUACUUGGAAUGAAAUUCGACUAAGAUAAAAUACAGAAAUGUUAUUAAACGCGAUGAGAACUGAGGAUUUCAGGUUAGAGAAGGUAAGACAAGCUUCUAGCUAAAUAACAUAUAAAUGACUGCUUUUUAAAAAAAUAUAAAAUUCUACCUAAGAAUAUAAGGAAUUUUUUGACCUAGGGAGGCAAGGCUGCCAGUGGCCUGGUACUACUGAUUAAAUGGUAGACAUAAGUUUAGAAAUUAUUUGUGUGAUAACCCUCUCUAGAAGGAUGAAAGCAAUCGGUAACUAAACCAAGAGAAGACAAAAUUGAUGCUUGAGUGACUGUCUAGCUGAGACAUGUUAGUUAACGUAAUUUUGGCGCCCUAAAUUAGAUCGAACGUGUAUGAUUUAAUUUUAAGUGCUUGCCAGAAUCAUGUUAAUUAAUGGACCAUAACUCAGAAUUGAAAUGGUCUCAUCCUUCAACAUUAUGUUUUUCUUUUCUCAGUGUGAAUAGGAAGGGAAAUUCGCAGGACUUACUUGAUUACGUUGGUGGUUGCUCAUUCUUCUCACCAAGCUAGACCAGCUACUAUCACACAGUAUCCAGUUCUUCUCUUUUUCUGGUUAGAACAUGCGAUCGUACAUGGCGAGAGCGAGAGAGAAGAGGGCGACGAUGCUAACAGAUAUUGAGGCGAUCGAUGGAGGAAGAAUCAGCAGGUUGGAUGCGUGAAAACAUGCGAUCGUACAUGGCGAGACCGAGAGAAUAAGAAACCUUGCGUUGUCGCGGAUAGAUGCAUUUCGGCUUGGGCUUUUCGAGCCCGGAUUUCCGAAGCCCGAGAGGCUCAUCCUCGUCAACCAUUUAGUUAAACAGAUGCUAAUUAAAUAAUCCUUUGUUCAAAUAUUAUUGUAAUUUACAAUUCCCUAGCAUGAAAUUACUACUAUCACCUAGAGGCAAAAUGAGACUACCGCAUACACCAACCAUUUAUACAAAAUUCAAACACAUUUUUCUUUGGCCCAUCGACCUUGGUCGUCACUACUUCCGACGGUAGAGGGUACUGCAAUAAGAAAUAUGAAGUCAUCCACAAGUUGCAUUGUACUAUGUGGACCAUUUCACAAAAUUUCACGGAAUUUGUGGAAAGAGUCCUACAUUCUACCUGCUAGCUAGAAAAUAAUAGUCUUCACGAUGGAGGCAACUUGUACAAUUGUGAUAAAUGCAUAUAUAAAAAUGCUUGCCAAAUUCUCUGGAUUGGUGUGGUAGAACAAUGUGUUAAGAGAUUAUCAAGUUGCGUAUUUAGAUUUCACAGACUAUAUGUAAACUAUUCUCUGUAUUCCAAUAAACUGUGAGAAAUAUAUGAUCACAUUUAUUUUUGCUUUGUGUAAGAAAGAAUAGUAAAUACUAUUUGCCCUACUACUGUGAGAAGGAACAUUUACUUGCUUGUUGUGGAGGUGCGUACGUAUGAAAGAUUUUGAUUGUUGUCUUAAAUUUCACAGUCAUACGAGCUUGCUUUUGGUAAAUAUAAGCGAGUGGAGAAAUUCUUGACAUUUUACGCACUUAAUAUGCUUCCUUUUCUGAUAUUUUUAGCAUCAUUAUUGGUAGAGAUCCUAGUUAGACUGCCCUUUAAGAGUAUCAUUCGUGUUUACUACAUCAUUGAAGGACUAGGUCUCGUGAACCGUCCUAGCUGACAUGAUUUUGCUUUAUGUACAUUAGUUUGGAUACACUUUAAUUUAGGAUACUACGAAAUCCCAAAUUAAUAUAAUUAUAAAUUUAUCUCAAAUUAAUUUUUUGACUACAAAAAACUCCAAACUAAUAUAUUUGUGAAAAAAUUUCCCCUAUUUUAGUUUUAGUAAAAUUUUACUGUCAAAUUUUUUAGUCGGAUGAUAUGUGAUAGUUAACUGGUAUAACAGUUUGAUGUUUUACGUUCAGUUUCUAGUUUUGUAGUUUUUCAUAAUAUUAAUCAAAUUUAACGGAAACUAAUAGAUGGUAUAUUUGACACAAAUAUAUCAGUUUGAAGUUCUUUGUAAUAAAAAAAUUAAUUCGAGGUAAAUUCGUUAUGUGUAUACUAGUUUGGGGCUUUUUGUGGUCAAAAAUUAAUCCGGGGUAAAUUUAUCGCAAGAGUACUGAAUUGAGGGUUUUCGUGGUAUUAUUCCUUAAUUUUAUGACACUUUAGUCUGUUCCAAAAUUUUAAUCAUUUUAUAAUGUUUUUAUAUUUUUAGAAAAUGGACCUCACGUGGCUAAAUAUGAAAUCUUGAUAAAGAGUGAAGUAUUGUUGUCAGCUGUAGGAUGAGCAAAAGAAAUGUCUGAAUCAGGAACUGCUCGGACCGAGGCAGGCAGACAAGUCCUCGGUUGCUGAAAACUUGAGUAAGUGGAUGUUGGUCCGGUUUUUUUUAUAUUAGGUGUGGAAUUCCCUAUUUAAUUUUUUUGUCAUAAAUAAAGCCCGAAGUCAGACUCCAGACUUCUCUGUCUCUCUUCUCUAACUCAUGAUCCCUCUCACUCUCAACUCGCUCAACUCACGACCUCGAGGCUCGUCGCUCAGUUACGCUCAAUCUCGGCCUCGACGGUUUUUGAGGCACCAAUUUGCCCCUCGCCUCUUGCCGCCCAUUUGCCUUAAUAUUUCCCUUUGUUUCGUCUGAUUUGUUUUUGUCAUGGUGCGUCUCGAUGUGUUUUACAUGGUUGCUAUCUGUUUAUGGUUUUCCUGUCUCCAUUUUUUUGAGUCGUGAUGGAUUCGCGAGGAGAUGAGAUGUCGAUGGGUCAUAGCUUUCGAGUCUGAUUCGCAUCCACCUGAGCUCAGACUUGAUGUGAUUUUACACAAUUUUACCUGUGGACAUGUUUCUGCUUAGCUAAAUAAUGAUCAGCUGGUGUUUUUUCUGCCUUUCUAUAUUCUAAUGUCGUUUGGUCAAGGGAGGUCAAGUGGAAAUUCUUUUAUUAAAAGUGGCGAAAGUCAUUUUGGUGAAGUGCUGUUUCAGGUUACUGGUAGUCGUGAUCUUUUAUGAAGAUUUCUUUGGAUUUUUGCCUGCAAGUGUGUAUGUUUGUCUGACGAUCAGGGAAGUCAUGUGUCCAUGGAUUCUAAAUUGUUGUAGGACAGGCAGGUAACUAACUUCAUGGGAUUGAUGUGGUUUGCUGCAUAUUGUAGGAUAACCUAGCUACAAUGGAACAAAAAAAGAAUGAAACUGGAAAAAAAAAAAAUUGAAGUGGCUGGUUCUCGAUGGAACCUGAAAGCAGCUUGAAACUGGCAGGUUUGGUUUCAAAGUCUGUUCUAGGGUCCACAGGGGUUGGUUCCCAGAAUAAAAACUUGGGAACGAGUCCUGAUAGGGUAGGUUCUAGGUUCCAGACUCGGAACUGAUUUGCUGUUAAAAUUGAGAAUGAACCUGAGUUUGAUCAAGAGGUUAACUCAAUGAGUGGAAGCUAGGUUUAGAUUUUGAGUAUUAUUUCUUUCUCAGAAAUGAAAUGUAAUGGAGGUAAAAUGCCUGUGCAACUUGUUCUGCCAGCAGUGUUUAUUACAUGAGUUCGCCUUUGCUUUCUCAACUUGCUCUAUUAACACAGUUAAGCAUUUCGUUUUGGGCCCUUGAUUUUAACUUUAUGAUUUGAUCUUUCUACUUCACAGGAUGGUGCAGCAAAAGAGAAAGAGAAGAGAAAGGAGAAGAAAAUGCAGAAGAGGAGGGAGGAAAAAGAGGUAGAAUUGAGCAAAAUGUCAACAAAAUCCCAAAUAAUGUUGCAUAAAGGCUGAAUUACACGGAAAUAUUAUGAAGGAUUUUUUCGGUGUCGAUAUAAAAAUCCAAUUUAACAUCACCUUCGGCCACCAACAACUCUGACAAAGGAUUUACAUCAUUGAAUGCCUAUUUACUUUGACACCAUUUCUGUUUGAGUGCUCGUAACACAUUCUUCUCAAUGUCUCUUUGCUUGACACGGGUUGAGGAAAAUUACUCUAUAAUAUUUUCAUCCAAUUUGGCCAUGUGAAGCAUUUUGGGAUUUUGUUGAGCAUAUUGCUCUUCCUAGGGACAUUUUUCUCAGCUUUGGCCUCUUUUUUCUUUCUCCUUCUCCUUUUCUUCUCCUUUGCCUUUCUCUACAUGGUCAAGCAGUUUGUCUCCUCAGCUUUUGCAUGGUGCCUGUGCAAAUUUUGGAUAUAUUGUCGAAGAGGGCUAGUGUUGAACCUGCUUGAAAGAAGCUAUCUGAACGGACUCCUGGCAGAGAUAAUUCCACAUAAUGGCCAGCCAUGUCAAGCAGACUUAAUUGUGCUGAGGAAAGCAGGUAAAGAGUUGAGAAUUGGUGAAAGGUAGUUGAUGUUUCUUAUGUAAUCUAAGAACAUAGUUCUAACUUGUCAUCCACUUUUCUUGCAGUAUUCAAAAGGCCCUUUGUUAAUUAUUUUUUACUGUUUUGCUUUGAGAAAUUAGCUGGUGGGGUUUGGGGCCAAGUACGUUGUUCAAUCUGACCUGCAAUCUCCUUCUUUCUUGCACUUCCUUUCACACCAUCACAAGACUCUUUUCUGUGUACACGUGCGUGCAUGUGUGCAUGGUUGUUUGGAUCGCAAUCCGGAUUGUAGGAUCACGAUCAUUUGAUUCUACAACUCAAAAACUUUGAACAAUUUGGAUUCUAAGAAAAAUGGUAGUUUGCAGGGGUCGUGAUCUGUAUCUUAGGAUGGCAAUCCCAACUACGAUUCCACUGUUCAAGCUUUAGAAGGCAAUUCUGCCUUUUUAGCUGGAGCAAAUAUGAAAUCGGGCCUCUGUUCCCUAGCACAUGUGCCACUUUCUUCUUAAUCAUGUUUAGGCUCCAUUUGGAAAAUAUAAGGCUUGGAAAAUUAAGAAAAAAGGGAUGAAGAUGAAUGAACAGUAGAAAGCGAAGAAGUGCAGAGACACCAUCACUUCGUCUUCAAUCUUGAAUAAAUGAUGAGAUGGGCAUCAACCACUGUAGGAUUUCUGAACUGUCCCGUCCUUUGGAGAUGAGAGAGACAAAGCUUCUGUCCUUCUGCAACCAGAUGAGAGAGACCUCUACAUCCUUGAGAAAUUGGAGCACGAUUUGACUUGGCCUAGUAUCAUAAUAUCUUUGGAUGUAUACUGAUUAGAACUGACCUUAAACUUUAAACAGUUGAAAAACCUAGAAUAGCCAGUGAAAGUGAGUUUGAGAGAGAGAGAGAGAGAGUUGGGGGGGGGGGGUGGGGGAGGAGUGGGCAGGUGGGCUAAAUUGGAGAGUGUGUCCCAGAUCGAGGGGAAUAAUAUAUUAUCCUUUGAAAUAAAGAAAGACACCAUAUGUAUUGCAAGGGAGAGAAGGACAAAAUAAAGGAUUAGAAAUUCGGAAAAGGCACAAAAGUAAUUUCUUAUCAGGCUUCUUCUUGAUUAUUAUGGUGAUUAUUUUAUGGUGAUCCUAUUAAAUACACCUUAAAAACUUGGGCAAGGAGAUUUUAUGCUUUUGCAUCUUUGACAUGGUGCUUCAAUUGUUAGUUGAAAAAGUGGCAACUAAGAAUUUAAACCAGAGUAAUCUCUCACAUGAGAAUGCUACCUUUAAGCUUCACUAUCCCUCUUUUAAAGGUUAAUAUGCAUCUACUUGCAAUGAUUUAAGCAAGAAUUUAAUACUUAAAAUAUGUAGGAUCUUAUGAUCUUGAUCUGAUCUGGAAGACUUCAGAAGGAUCCUACUUAGCAUCUCGAUCCUGAUAACCUUUUUGUGUGUGUGACAAAGGUUGCCUAGUUUUAAUAUUUAUUGUGAAUUUAUUUGAUCUUAGUUAUAUAUUUGACAGGAGAAAUAUGGAUCCAGUUGUAAAAUUUCUAAUGGGCGACUCCAGAGUGAAACUGCUUUUCUGUUGGGUAAGCAGCUUUCACAUGGAGCUUUUCUUCUCUAUGUCAGUAUCCGUCUUGUCCCUGUGCUCAUAUUGCAUGGAUGGAGACUGACUGGAGAACAUGAAGAUAGAGUAAGGGCAAUUUUACAGUUCCUCAUUAGUUUGGUGUAAGAUUGAUCUUUGAAGCAUAAUGGGCCUAAGAGCCUUGAGUGUAGGACUAGCCUCUUUAAUUUCCGCAAAAGAGUGGAGAAUCGGUCUUUGUUUGCUUCUAUUAUGGAAUCCUGUGGCCUCCUUUGCUUCAGAUGGAAUGAAUAGCUAGUAUUUGUUCUCCAACAAGUUAUAUUCACUUUGAUGCUUCAAGUUGUCCAUUUUAUCCAGUGAGGGUACUCAGCUAAUUAAUAUACUAUAUCAAGUAGUAUGUUAUAUGAAUAAAUUUUCCAUUUUAAUUUUGUGAUUGCAUCGCUUCUACCUGAAUAUAUAUGUAUAUCCUUGGAAGCGAGCCAUAUUUUACCCUGCUUGUUUAAACUUUAUGAUACUUGAAGUCUUUCACAUUAGCAAGAAUCCUUAACAUCCUUGGUUCAGUUGAAAAUUAACUUUGUACCCAUAAUAUGCCCCCCUUUCCAUUUUUGUAUUUUUCCUUAUAUCCUUGGUUUAAUUACACUAAUAUUUUGCUUACAAUGCCCAAUUGGUAAAAGCAUAGACUUAAACCACUGUGAGUAACCGUUUCUUUGGUAGCUAUUCAUUUUGAUAGCUUACCUGGACCAAAGUGGUGCUGUUUGUUCGUGCUUUCAUCUCUCUCAAUUCCUUGCCAAAUCCGCAAUUGUUGACCAAGAUUCAUCCAAAUGGAGCUUUGCUUCAACUUAGGUGAGUGAUUAUGAGUUGUAAUUGUUCCGAAUCCAUUGUUGUUUAUACCGUCUAUUGUUUUUUCUGAUUCUGUUCACCCCCCUUUCUAGCGUUUUUCUUGCUCUUUGGUUAUGCUCUUACAAGAGUGAGUGCCUUUUGCCUCUUCAAGAUUCCUGUGAAGAGUUUUUGGUUUUUGAUUAGUAUUUGAUUACCCUUCAAUAUUGCGUUUCUUACCUUUACAAGUUGUGGUUCUUCUUCUUACAUGCUCAUCGGAAGAGAUGGAUUAUAUUCUGCAUCGACAGCCAAAAUAAAUGGUCAAACACCCAAUUAAAAAAACAAAUGCCAAAAGUGGCAAGGGAGGAAGUGUCUUCUCAGUCGGAUAUGAAUGAAGAUUCGACUAACUCCUAUGAGCAUACUAAUCACAUGAGAAGUGCCACAUGGGGUUGUUAUACAUGUUUCAUGUACAUGUUUGCUUUUACGACUUAUUGAACCUGCUAACCUGUGGCUUCUAACCUGUGAUGGAUGUACUAUCUGCUGAUCAUAUGAUGUCGUUGUGUCAUUGGGUGCAUUGUGCUUGUUUUGGUAGGAAGGAGAGAUGUGUUGUGCAAUUUGGAAAAUUUUGUUACAAGGAUGAAUGCUUG